Long non-coding RNA from Toxorhynchites rutilus septentrionalis, 715 nucleotides. RefSeq lists it as uncharacterized. NCBI's taxonomy places the organism in Eukaryota, Metazoa, Arthropoda, Insecta, Diptera, Culicidae. The transcript has 4 exons. The record is from RefSeq and is a predicted model, not a curated record.
AAACAAACGCAGUGAGAAAAACUAUAAUUUUUGUUCAAAGUUAUCUUGAGAUUCUAUAGCUUUCUGCAAAAAUGGCAUCCAAUGCGAUAAACUCUUCGAUGAUGACGGUAAAUUUGCAGCUUGCCGAUUUUUUUCAAUACGUCGGAGGAGGAAGCAGGUUGAUAGUCGAAGGUGAACGGGUGUUUCAAGCUAACCACUUGCUUCUUGUCGGAGUUCAAACCGUGCACGAGGACGGCUUUACCAUAUUUGCGACUUGUUUGAAGUCAUCAUCACCUAGAGCUGAUCCACACAAAAUUUCCAUCCGCACCAGACCUUCCUUUGAAAAGUGGUCUUUUCAGUGUUCGUGCAAAGCUGGAAUGGGAAAAUGCAAACACAUAAUGGCCGUUUUAAAACAUCUUCUAAUGGGUUCCCUUCAGUUCCAUUGCUUACAGUAACAGAUUUGCAACAAAAGUGGGGUAAAAUUGCAGAAAAAGUUGCUGACGAUAUGUACAAGACAACACCAUUGACCGCAUUCUGCAAAAAAAUGACGAAUACAAAAGAUACGACUGAAGCUGCCUCGCCGGCGGGUUUGACUCACGAUGAGGGUACCAACAUUCUUCAGCUUUUCGUGAAAGGAUUCCCUGAAAGCGGUCUGGCAUACGAAAAGAAAGGACGAGAAAUGAAAAAUAUUGACAAAAAUGAUGAAUCUGAUGUUCUGAAUACACUUCUCGAUAUA